Molecule: long non-coding RNA, 782 nt
Filed under: Rattus norvegicus (Norway rat)
Lineage: Eukaryota; Metazoa; Chordata; Mammalia; Rodentia; Muridae
Description: long non-coding RNA NONRATT014616
Source: RNAcentral
UUGUAAGAACAAGACUACGUGAAGAAGGGACAAAAUACAGAUCUUUUUUUCAGACACUGUCUUUGAUUGUUCAAGAAGAAGGCUAUGGGUCUCUUUACCGUGGCCUAACAACUCAUCUGGUGAGACAGAUUCCAAACACAGCCAUUAUGAUGGCCACCUACGAACUGGUGGUCUACCUACUCAAUGGAUAGCAGCAGGGGCUGCCGUGCUGCAGAGCAGGAAAACCAAACGAUCACAGUGGACCAUGGAAUAUUGAAGCCAGCAUGGUGGUCAGAAGACAGUAGUGGGGAAACAUGUAACUACUGUGGCUGAGUGGAAGUUUGGUUUUAGGAAGUAAGGUACUACCACACCACAUUGAUCUUUCAGUGAGGACACCCUGGGCUGCCUCUUAGAGAAUGCUUUGAAAAGCAUUCCUAUCUCAAAAUUGCCAUUUUCUCUACUAUUCACCAGCUCCAGAUUUGUUUUACUGGUUUAUGACAGUCAGAAUAUAGUGUUAAUUCCAUGAGCAUUUUUGGUUGUUUAGACAAAAUCAUUCCUCAGUAUAUACUGUACUGUAAUUUUCCAAAAAUGACAGUGACAAUUACAGAUGACUAACCGGACUUCUCCUGCAGUACUGUAAAAGAACAAGUAGAUCUCGAUAUCCCAGUUCCCUAGAAGGGCCUGCCUGUUACAGUGUUUUAAGUUAUUUGACACCAGUAAUCACUGUGUUUUGACAACCAGUGAAAUAGUGUCUAAAUACUUCACAUUUUCAACAUUAAAAUGUUUUGGUCACAGAUAAAAGG